This 551-nucleotide ribosomal RNA is filed under the name Lactobacillus gasseri. RNAcentral describes it as "bacterial SSU rRNA". It matches the Rfam family "Bacterial small subunit ribosomal RNA", at positions 9 to 520 of the family's 1533-position model. Lineage: Bacteria; Bacillati; Bacillota; Bacilli; Lactobacillales; Lactobacillaceae. The record is from RNAcentral.
AAGUUUGAUCCUGGCUCAGGACGAACGCUGGCGGCGUGCCUAAUACAUGCAAGUCGAGCGAGCUUGCCUAGAUGAAUUUGGUGCUUGCACCAAAUGAAACUAGAUACAAGCGAGCGGCGGACGGGUGAGUAACACGUGGGUAACCUGCCCAAGAGACUGGGAUAACACCUGGAAACAGAUGCUAAUACCGGAUAACAACACUAGACGCAUGUCUAGAGUUUAAAAGAUGGUUCUGCUAUCACUCUUGGAUGGACCUGCGGUGCAUUAGCUAGUUGGUAAGGUAACGGCUUACCAAGGCAAUGAUGCAUAGCCGAGUUGAGAGACUGAUCGGCCACAUUGGGACUGAGACACGGCCCAAACUCCUACGGGAGGCAGCAGUAGGGAAUCUUCCACAAUGGACGCAAGUCUGAUGGAGCAACGCCGCGUGAGUGAAGAAGGGUUUCGGCUCGUAAAGCUCUGUUGGUAGUGAAGAAAGAUAGAGGUAGUAACUGGCCUUUAUUUGACGGUAAUUACUUAGAAAGUCACGGCUAACUACGUGCCAGCAGCCGCGG